UACCAGCACCCCGAGUGGUCGGGACGUUUAUUGGGCCUAAAGCAUCCGUAGCCGGUUCUACAAGUCUUCCGUUAAAUCCAACUGCUUAACAGGUGGGCUGCGGAAGAUACUAUAGAGCUAGGAGGCGGGAGAGGCAAGCGGUACUCGAUGGGUAGGGGUAAAAUCCGUUGAUCCAUUGAAGACCACCAGUGGCGAAGGCGGCUUGCCAGAACGCGCUCGACGGUGAGGGAUGAAAGCUAGGGGAGCAAACGGG
RNAcentral lists this ribosomal RNA (253 nucleotides) under uncultured bacterium. Its description in RNAcentral is "partial 16S ribosomal RNA". It matches the Rfam family "Archaeal small subunit ribosomal RNA", at positions 474 to 727 of the family's 1478-position model. The record is from RNAcentral.